This 250-nucleotide ribosomal RNA is filed under the name uncultured bacterium. RNAcentral's name for it is "partial 16S ribosomal RNA". It matches the Rfam family "Bacterial small subunit ribosomal RNA", at positions 524 to 773 of the family's 1533-position model. The record is from RNAcentral.
UACGUAGGGGGCAAGCGUUAUCCGGAAUUACUGGGUGUAAAGGGUGAGUAGGCGGCAUGACAAGUAAGAUGUGAAAGCCCGUGGCUUAACCACGGGAUUGCAUUUUAAACUGUUGAGCUAGAGUACAGGAGAGGAAAGCGGAAUUCCCAGUGUAGCGGUGAAAUGCGUAGAUAUUGGGAAGAACACCAGUGGCGAAGGCGGCUUUCUGGACUGAAACUGACGCUGAGGCACGAAAGCGUGGGGAGCGAAC